ACUGUGCUCAAAAUGCUUUGGCCUUAACGCAAAACUGUCGUUAGUAAAUGACCCCCCAAUGAAUUAAGGGAGGCCGGGUGGUCAACGGCAUACUAAAAGCAAUCGGCCUACCAGGAGUCUUCCCGGUGGGUUACACUGCCAAUUUGCCCCCUGUAUACAAUGAGUUUAUUGCUCUCAUUUUUCCUUUUGGCAAUAUGUGUAAAGGGCUAUAGUUCAUAUACAGAUGUCAGAUAAAGGUGGUUUGUGUCUACAAAAAAAAUACUAAAUUAAAUUUUUUGGUUCAUAACACACACAAAAAACUAUGAAUAAACACAACUAAUGUAAUUCAAGUUAUUUAAUGUGCUCAGAAAACAAGCAGAGGCAGAUUUAAGUAACACACUGAUCAUAGUUACUGCCAGGACGAUAAAAGGGAUGGGCCGCUAAUGACAAGCCUAAUUGUGUAUAGCUCUGGGCUGGAUGCACAUGCCUAGAACUGCCUUCACA
Molecule: long non-coding RNA, 483 nt
Organism: Bufo bufo (common toad)
Lineage: Eukaryota; Metazoa; Chordata; Amphibia; Anura; Bufonidae
Exons: 3
Source: RefSeq, a predicted model, not a curated record